This 405-nucleotide ribosomal RNA is filed under the name bacterium. Its description in RNAcentral is "bacterial SSU rRNA". It matches the Rfam family "Bacterial small subunit ribosomal RNA", at positions 989 to 1386 of the family's 1533-position model. The record is from RNAcentral.
AUCUGACACCCUAGAGAAAGGGCUUCUCCUUCGGGAGCAGAGUGACAGGUGGUGCAUGGUUGUCGUCAGCUCGUGUCGUGAGAUGUUGGGUUAAGUCCCGCAACGAGCGCAACCCUUGAUCUUAGUUGCCAUCAUUUAGUUGGGCACUCUAAGGUGACUGCCGGUGACAAACCGGAGGAAGGUGGGGAUGACGUCAAAUCAUCAUGCCCCUUAUGACCUGGGCUACACACGUGCUACAAUGGACGGUACAAAGAGCUGCAAGACCGCGAGGUGGAGCUAAUCUCAUAAAACCGUUCUCAGUUCGGAUUGUAGGCUGCAACUCGCCUACAUGAAGCUGGAAUCGCUAGUAAUCGCGGAUCAGCAUGCCGCGGUGAAUACGUUCCCGGGUCUUGUACCACACGCCAA